This 467-nucleotide ribosomal RNA is filed under the name uncultured Treponema clone RFS39p. RNAcentral describes it as "bacterial SSU rRNA". It matches the Rfam family "Bacterial small subunit ribosomal RNA", at positions 64 to 527 of the family's 1533-position model. The record is from RNAcentral. Lineage: Bacteria; Pseudomonadati; Spirochaetota; Spirochaetia; Treponematales; Treponemataceae.
GAGCGCAGGGNGCAAUCCCNUAGAGCGGCGGAUUGUGAUUAACGGUGGUGAUUUACCCUGGGUUGGGAUACCAUUAGAAAUAGUGGUAAUACCGAAUACGGCCGUGAGACUAUGGUUUUACGAAGAAAGGGGUUACGGCCCCGCCCCGGGAUGAGCCGGCGUCCCAUUAGGUAGUUGGUGAGGUAAAGGCCCACCAAGCCGGAGAUGGGUAGCCGGCCUGAGAGGGUGAACGGCCACACUGGGACUGAGAUACGGCCCAGACUCCUACGGGAGGCAGCAGCUAAGAAUAUUCCGCAAUGGACGAAAGUCUGACGGAGCGACGCCGCGUGUAUGAAGAAGGCCGAAAGGUUGUAAAGUACUUUUAUUGCUGAAGAAUAAGCGGGGGAGGGAAUGCCCCUGUGAUGACGCGAAGCAAUGAAUAAGCCCCGGCUAAAUUACUUUUCCCAACCAGCCCGCCGGUUAACCCC